RNAcentral lists this long non-coding RNA (2002 nucleotides) under Mytilus galloprovincialis (Mediterranean mussel). The record is from RNAcentral. Lineage: Eukaryota; Metazoa; Mollusca; Bivalvia; Mytilida; Mytilidae.
CAUUUAUCUAAGUGAUUUGCUCGACAUUAUUAUGCUAUUGUCAUUAUUUUAUUUACACAUUAAUAUUGAAGAAUACUUGUAGUUUACUUUGUACAAGAAAAAUGGUCAGUAAUUGUGCUCAUGGACCAUGUGACAACAAAUAUGUAUAGUUACCAUUAGACUACAAAAAUGUAUGGUAAACAAUAUGUUUCAUUUCAUCGCUAGCUAAAUGAUUGUACAACUUUUUCCCAUUGACUAAAAUAUAUUAAUCCACUCUCAAUUUUCAAUUUUCGAAAUAAAAAAAAAUCUCAGAAAGCCUCUCAUUUCAAAGUGUGAGAAUUCAACAACUAAGAUAAAUAAUAUGAUCAAUUGAGGGGAAGAAUCUAUAUGUAUAUAAUAGGAUAUUCAUUUUUUUUCAAUUUUCUAUUUUUAUCAUUACAAGAAUGAUUGACAAUCAUUGAUAGACUAAGCACAGUAUCCAAGACAACAACAAGUGUAUUGUAAGCUGCUUAACCAUUCUAAAACAAUAUUUUUGUCUAGUCAAUAUAAGUUUUGCAGCAUGUACAGUCAAUUUUUUAUGUGCAUACUGUGAAUCAUUCAAGUUAUGAAAAUGGACGUGUUGAUAAUUUUGACAGCAGCAUUACAAUGAAGAUAAUUAUAUAUUGUAUAUUAAAAUUCAAUAAUACUACACUUUUGAUGAUAGUUUCCAACUUAGUGAUAAUAUUUUCCAACAUUACAAUUAAUGAAUACCAGCCUAUGGUUGAUAGUUUCCAUUAUUAGAUUUAAUCAAAGUUUCCAUUAUAAAAAUUGCAUAAAACAAGCCUAUGUUAAUCAGCUUCCAAUAUAAAAAUUCCAUAAAGCAAGUCUUUGUUAGGUAGUUUCCAAUAUAAAAGUCCCUCAAAGCAAGAUUUUUAAGAUAGUAACCAAUAUAAAAAUCUGUCAAUACAAGCAUAAGGCUUCCAAUAUAAGAAUCCACUAAUAUCAGUCUAGGAUUUGUACUAAACAAUACAUAAAUCCCCAAUUCUAGCCUAUUGUUGGUAGUUUACAAUAUGAAAAAUCCACUAAUAUCAGGCUAUGGUUGUUAGUUUAGAAUACAUAAAUCCACUAAUAUCAGGCUAGGGUCAGUAGUUUCCAAUAUUAAAAUCCACUACUAUCAGGCCAGGGUUGGUAUUUUCCAUAUUUAAAUCCAAUAGUAUCAGGCCAGGGUCUGUAGUUUUCAAUAUUUAAAUCCAAUAGUAUCAGGCCAGGGUCUGUAGUUCUCAAUAUUUAAAUCCAAUAGUAUCAGGCCAGGGUCAGUAGUUUUCAAUAUUUAAAUCCAAUAGUAUCAGGCCAGGGUUGAUAGUUUCCAUUAUUAAAAUCCACUACUAUCAGGCCAGGGUUGGUAUUUUAUAAUAUUAAAAGUGUUUGUUAUUCCAUUAUAGAUAAACACCAAAAUAGCCUAGUGUUUACCUUAUCUUGGUUGUAUCUUUCAGUAUCAAUAAACUUUUCUCUUAUGUUCAAUAAAGCUUAUGCUGAUGUUUUAGGACCAGUUAAGGCUGAAACUGUCAGUGUUGAAAUUAAAACAAACUUGCAGGAUUAAGCAUAAACGGCAAAAAAGUGGCCAGAAAAUGAAUUUACCCCAUAAGCUUUGAUAGAUAGCAAAUUUUUAAAAAGUUGAUAACGAAACAUUGGUAUUAAAAAGUCGCCGUUUUUACACUAAAAAGAUAUGUUUACUAAAUAUUAUUUCCAUUUUGGUUAUAUUAUUUUAAACAAAUGUCCAAAUUGAAUGACAUUUUGUUAUGUUUUUACAUUUUAAUAGUAAAGGAACUACAGUGUGACUUUUUCCACAUUGUAACCAUUAAGUCAUAUAUCAUUUAAAGAUAACUAAGGUCUUUGGUAUAAAUAAAUAUUUUUACACUUGAAAAUAAUAACUUUACAUAAGACUGGUACUUUGCAGAAUAAUAAGAUUUUUGGCAAAUUUGACAAAAUUUUCAAUUAAAACUAGAAUUUUAUUACAAAUUUAUCUUUUACAGAUAGUUAUGAA